Molecule: non-coding RNA, 2405 nt
Organism: Aegilops tauschii subsp. strangulata
Lineage: Eukaryota; Viridiplantae; Streptophyta; Magnoliopsida; Poales; Poaceae
Source: RefSeq, a predicted model, not a curated record
UGUCCCAUGCCGCGGCAGAUCUUGGGGCUCACUCACCGGUCCUCUCCACUCACCCGCCACCUCUCGCCCUCUCCCCUCCCCCUGCCGCAUCGCCGCGCGAGUCGCCGAGCCCGCAAACGCGGGACUCCGCCCGCCGACCACCGCAUCAGUCCCAUGCCGCGGCCGGUCUUAUGGCUCAUUCACCUCUCUUCUCCACUCACUCCAACAUCUCGGUCAUCUCCCCUCCCCCGCCGCAUCGCCGCGCGCGUCGACUGUGCGACUCUGCCCACCAACCACCGCAGCGGCGUGGCUAGGGGCUCCGACGAGCUGUGUGCGGCGCGACCAACGGGGACGGACGCAGUGAGCUUACUGACAUAGGCGCGGGUGCUCGGUCCGGUCCCAUUCCGCUCGCAUCCGCAGCGGUGUUUGUCUCCGGCGAGGUGGCAGGUGGAUCCAAAGCGCGGCGGCUCGAUCUGCAUCGCCAGCAGCUCCGCGCCAUGAACCGGCCUCACAGCCACGGCCAGGAGCGACGAUUGCUCCCCAACUCUGCGGCAUGGUGUGCGCUGACCGUUCGUCCCCAAGUCCCCAACGCUGCCACCGGCCGGAGACACGACGGUUCUCUCGUCCGGCUCAAAGCACGCGCCGUUGUGGCCCGCCUCCCGCUGCAGCAGCUGGCAAAGAAAGCGGAACGCCCCUGCGCCGGCGACAUCGGCAUCUCCAUCGACCGUCUCAGCAACUGCUACCUUGACAGGUGAUGGUAAGCCUGAGCUAGCUGGGUUAUCUGAUUCAACAUGCAUGGUCAAUAUUUAUUUAAAUGGUUGACCCAUGAAUAUGUACAUACAAUCAGACGUACAUACCAUGCAUGUUAAGAUGAAACAUAAAACAAUCUUACUUGAUAUACUAGGGGGACGCAGAUCAAUUUUCCUCUGAUGAUCAUCUCGUGUGGGUUCGUUUAUCUGCCCCAGCUUGUGUUCUGACCCGGUAUUGUUGCAUUGUACCACCAGUUCCUUUCAUGUAUUUUUCUUAGUCUGAUAAGACGUAUGCAUCCCGUCGCUUAAAGCAUCACAACCUAAAAUUAACAGAUCAACAAACGUGCCAUACGCUAUACACCAACAUGAACACCCGUAUGCAUAAAUUAUGUCAUAUGAAAAUGCGGAUUGGUCUGUACCAUAUGAAUCUUCCGGUACAUAAUCCAGUGUUACAUUACUCGGAGCCGACAAGGGAGCAUCAUGAUGGUCUCCUGCCCGUAGCAAUCUUGAUCCAUCUGUAAAGUUGUAACCAAUAGGAAUACAACACCAAUGAAAAACCGUUGAGCAAGUAUGGAGCUACGGGUGUGAUGCUUGCAUAACAUUCUUCAACAUUUGUCGCACCGUCAGUAAUGGACAACUCGCAUGCGCCGAAAUUUCAGAUAGUGUGAAUUAUACAUGUAGGUAAGUCCUCGUCUGGUUGAUGUUCACUUGCCUUGCUUUUUGAAUUCCCCAUAAGCACAUAUGUAACGGCAGCUCCCUGUGAAGAAGAUAACAUUGCUUGAUGUGAAUGGUUAUCAUAUAUUAAUUGCCUUACUUCAAGUUUUACCUUGUGCAAAAAGAUUUAGCAGCAUGUUCUUUAUAGUUCUUUGUUUUUCAUUUAUACAAAUCACCUCAGGUUAUGUUUAUUCAGGUUAUCUUUGCAAAUCACUUAGAUCACAUUGAUACAACAUCUAGGAAAUCAAUAUUGCAAACUUUGCACAUUAAGGAGUAAUCUAUAGUCAGGUUACUAUAACAAAUACUUCACAUACUAUAUGUUUUCCAAUAAAUCUGCUUGAGCUAAUUUGCUGUUUGGUUUUGUAUAUUGUGCUUGAAAUGCUUGCUUGCAGUUUUGAUCUGGCACUGAUCUUAUUAUCAGGGCCUUCAUGAUUUCCUUCUUGGAAUUGCUUGCUUCUAAUUUCUUUGAAAGAUACCAUGAUGCAAUUUUGUUUUUCUAUCUUGUGUAUUCUGCUGCUGAUUCCUGCUGAUUCUUUCUUGCAGUAUGGGUUAUUGUGUGACCGGUUACAGUGUGAUAACAAAUUUUGUAUUUGUGAUUUGUCCCCUCCCCAAGGAAGCUUCUAUAUAAAAGAUCUCAAAAUGCAGGAGCCUAAGAAAAUGCUACAUAAAAGAUGUCAACUUCUAUAUCAGCUAUCUAAAAGAUAUCACCUGUGCCUGAAAUUAUUAUCAGCUUCUUCAUCAAGUAUCAAUUAAUUGCAGCUGGGCUUAACCAUUGUUUUUUAUUUUCUUUGUCGACAGAGAGGCAAGUUCGAGAUUCAAUUGGAUGGACCUUCAUGUUGUUUAUUGAGUUUCUCAUCAGCCAUGGUCUUUCUUAAGUGAUUAUAAUGUCGAAGUAGUACAUUGCAAACAUGUGUAUAAACUGUAUAAUAACAAAACGCGAACCUGGACGCGUUUGGUUGCUGA